AUGGGGACUGACUCACUGUUGGAGCCAGACUCUAGUGGCCAUUAGAGGAACUGCAGCUGCUGGUUUCAGUCUGGAGGUUGAGGGUUUAAAUCCUGUAAACUGACCUGAAGUUUAUCAUGUUUCACUCUCUGAUUUCAAGGCGGAUGGAAACAACAGAGCUCAGUGAACACACACUGCCUUUCAUUUAGGAACAGAUCAAACACUGACCCAGUGAAGACCAGCAACACACACUGACACCUGAUGGUCUGAAGGUCUGAGGGUCUGAUGGUUCAGGGUCUGAAGGUCUGAUGGUUCAGGGUCUGAUGGUCUGAAGGUCUGAGGGUUCAGGGUCUGAUGGUCUGAAGGUCUGAUGGUUCAGGGUCUGAAGGUCUGAUGGUUCAGGGUCUGAUGGUCUGAAGGUCUGAAGGU
Long non-coding RNA from Seriola dumerili (greater amberjack), 408 nucleotides. RefSeq lists it as uncharacterized. The transcript has 3 exons. The record is from RefSeq and is a predicted model, not a curated record. Lineage: Eukaryota; Metazoa; Chordata; Actinopteri; Carangiformes; Carangidae.